GGGACAAGGAUAAUUUCCAUCAUUUGAAUGCUUCUUUCUAUAUCUUCUGAAGACUAUGUAUGCAGAGGUGAAGGGUGGAUCUUCAGGAGACGUGACAAGUGUUGAGAGCAGCUCCUGCCUGCUCCCAUUGGCAGCUGAGGGAGAGGCAGUGUUAGCACAUGGACUUACAGAGCAGCAGUGAGGAUUUGUGGUGACUAAUUAUUUGAAUAUGAAUCAACAAUGCAACACUGUGGCAAAACAAGGCAAAUGCUCAGCACUGAGUCACAUUAAUAAGAAUGUCACGCAUAAAAGAAAUGAGGAAAAAGCUGCUUUUUAGAAAAUAUCCACUCGAAGCUACUGGAACAAACAAUGAGAAGGACAACACAGCUGUAUAAGACUGG
Molecule: long non-coding RNA, 380 nt
Organism: Vidua macroura (Pin-tailed whydah)
Lineage: Eukaryota; Metazoa; Chordata; Aves; Passeriformes; Viduidae
Exons: 3
Source: RefSeq, a predicted model, not a curated record